UCUUAUUUAUGCUCAUUUGGGAGAGCAAGAGACUCUUAAUCUCAGGGUCGUGGGUUUGAGCCCCAUAUUGUUCAAAAAGAU
This is a non-coding RNA of Podarcis lilfordi (Lilford's wall lizard), 81 nucleotides long. The record is from the annotation of a GenBank genome assembly. Lineage: Eukaryota; Metazoa; Chordata; Lepidosauria; Squamata; Lacertidae.